RNAcentral lists this long non-coding RNA (497 nucleotides) under Fukomys damarensis (Damara mole-rat). RNAcentral describes it as "lncRNA (ENSFDAG00000031838.1)". Lineage: Eukaryota; Metazoa; Chordata; Mammalia; Rodentia; Bathyergidae. The record is from RNAcentral.
GGGAACUUGAUUUUUAAAACAAUCUUAGUGUGAAGUCUUUUUGCAAAAUAAGCUUGGUUAGCAUCUGAUACUUCUGUUGCCUGUGUAAACAGGAAUUUGAGUUUUCAUCGUGUGUUUAAAAUGACAUGCAAUUAGAAGAUAAAGAAAUGGAGAGCUGCUUGGCAGUUCUGGUUUCCAGGGCCUUCCCCUGGAGCAGCCCAGCAUGUUCCACCUCUGUGAGAAGGAUACUGCGAGGUAGGUCUUGGGAGUCCUGGGCACAGACUUGCUCUUUUUCAGGCUGUGUUCACAGUGAAGGUCACCACAGCCUGAGCCCCAAUGAUCCAGAUCAUGGCCACGUCCCUCUUCUUACCCUGCCAGCCUCAGAACACCCUCAUGUCAAGUGCAAACAGCAACACCAUGUGAAGGAGGAAAUCGCCUUUGUCUCAGCUCCGUGCUCAGUGAUGUUUGUCAGAGAUGACACCUAUUCAAUACCCCAGCUUCACAGGCAGCAGAAGUAA